AACAGAACAGAGAAGGUCAGAACAGUACAGAACAGAGCAGAACAGAACAGAACAGAGCAGAGCAGGUCACAACAGAAAAGAACAGAGCAGAUCAGAACAGGUCAGAACAGAACAGAACAGAAAAGAACAGAAAGGAACAGAGCAGGUCAGAACAGAACAGAACAGGUCAGAACAGAACAGAGCAGAGCAGAGCAAAGCAGAACAAGUCAGAACAGAGCAAAGCAGAACAGAACAGAACAGAGCAGAACAGAACAGAACAGGUCAGAACAGAGCAGAGCAGAAAAGGUCAGAACAGGUCAGAACAGAGCAGAGCAGAACAGGUCAGAACAGAACAGAGCAGAACAGAACAGAGCAGAGCAGGUCAGAACAGACCAGAGCAGGUCAGAACAGUGCAGAGCAGUGCAGAGCACAACAGAGCACAACAGAGCAG
Molecule: long non-coding RNA, 430 nt
Filed under: Salmo salar (Atlantic salmon)
Lineage: Eukaryota; Metazoa; Chordata; Actinopteri; Salmoniformes; Salmonidae
Description: lncRNA (ENSSSAG00000104903.1)
Source: RNAcentral